UUUUAUUUUAUUUUAUUUUAUUUUAUAUAAUUUUAUUUUAUUUUUUAAUUUUUUUAAAGACCAAAACACACUGAGAAAAGCAUAAAAAAAUUGCAGAGGUAGCUGGAAUUUGGAGGCUACCAUAAAAAGCAGACUGGAUAUCUAAGCUGGACAUCUCCCAUCUCCAUUUAUAAUUGAUAAUUGUGUGUUUUUCCCACCAGUCAAAAACAGAGUUAGUUUUAAACAGAUAGAACUGGCUCUUGCCGUUUUCUUGUCAGUGUUAUCUCAUUAGGAUCAAUACUUUUCUUUGCUUUUCUAUAAGCCUGGGAAAAUCAGGGGGAUGGAUUUCCUUUAACAGGAUAAAAUCCUUGCAAAGGACUUUGGAGAGGUGAGAUAAGAAAUUAACAUUAAAAAGGUGAUCGCUAUCUGUGCAGAGGUUUUGCUGCUGGAGCCCACCUGAAGCUUGUUUUCCAGCACAUUUACAUUCCCAACAAGCUGCAGGGUGUAAAACCCCCGGGGCUCUGCCAGGUUGGGAAUUGCUGUUCCUGCAGAAGGAAUUCCAGGGUGAUGCUGACCUUGGGGCUCCAAGGGCAGAGGGGCAGGAAGGUGUAGGGGAUGUGUUGUGUGCUUGUGGUCCUGCUCAGGGUGAACAGGAGCAGAGCUGUCUUUGUCAGAUCUGAUUUUGCACAGAGGACGCAGGGGGGACUGCUGUGCCCCACGUGUGCUGCACAGAGGAGCCUGCACAGCCGCCUGUUGCUCCUCCAAGCCACAAGCAUGCAAGAAACAUUUGCUUUUAAAUGCCUGGAAGUAUUUUCACGUUGUUAAAGUGACCUCUUCUUCACCAUGUGCCUUCUUGAGAGCUGUUGUGCUAUUUUUGCUCCAAAUUUCGAAACAAAUCCCACCCCCUAAGGCAGAAACCAAGAGCAGGAGCCAUCAGGAACUGUCAGCUUUGCUGAGCUAACCAAAAACUGAGAUUUCCAGCGAAAGCCUUUGACUUCUGGUGUUCACCUCGAAGCAACAGGCUGCAAGCCCCA
This 1013-nucleotide long non-coding RNA is filed under the name Cyanistes caeruleus (blue tit). Its description in RNAcentral is "lncRNA (ENSCCEG00000011065.1)". The record is from RNAcentral. Lineage: Eukaryota; Metazoa; Chordata; Aves; Passeriformes; Paridae.